GGCAACAACAAAUCUUCACUAUCGGAGGCAACUUUUGUUCUGACGCCAUUUUGAAAAGUUGGAUACCUAAGUUUUAAAUUGUUCAGUGUAUAUAUUGCAGAGAGAAAGAGAGAGAGAGAGAGAGAAAUAUGAGACAGUGAUAUAGCAUAACUUAGAUUAUGGAGGCCCCAAAGGCACCGUGCAUGUGCAUGCUGUAUGUUGUAAAAUGGCAACGUUUCGCUUUUUAUCAUGUUUAUUAAAAUGUAUGCUCCAUAUGUAUGUUCUCUCUCUAUAAAUAAAUGAAUACUUUUCGGAAUUAAAAAAAAUAUUUUUAACCCCGCUCAAAUUAUCCGGAUGAUAAUAGUUACACCGAGCAUGGUUUCGUAGUUAAAUUCAGACUGUAGAACAUCCGGUUUGAAUACAUGUGUUUUCUGACUUUUCGGAUAGCCAACUCUUGUUUUUUGGAACUUACGACUUAUGGCAAGAGAGAAGAAAACUGUGUGACGUUAAAAGAAAACCAGUGAGAUAAAAUCAUAGAAAAUGUAUGAUGAUUCAGGAUGUGGCCAUUUGGUCCUGUUCUGUGGAUGCCCUAAGACAGUGUCUACCCAUCACUCCAUCUGAUAUCACUUGUUCUGUGCAUAUUUCUCUCUCAAACUUAAACUACAGAGAGCCUGUGGAUAGAGGAUGAAGAGUGACCUUGGACUAAUUUUCUAGGUCAAAGAUCAUAGGUGAUGUGAAGAAAACCAGGAAACUGAUGUUGAAAGAAGUACCUAAUGACCCUUAUGAAUGGACUUAAAUGUGAAAGACUGUUCCAUUGCUUAUCUAAGAUAUAUGAAUUUAUUUAAUAUUUUGAUAUCAUUGAAAAAUUCAGUUACAGUUUUUGUACAUCAAAUGAAUUAUUAAACAUAUAAAAUGGUAA
This is a long non-coding RNA of Saccostrea cuccullata (small rock oyster), 898 nucleotides long. RefSeq lists it as uncharacterized. The record is from RefSeq and is a predicted model, not a curated record. NCBI's taxonomy places the organism in Eukaryota, Metazoa, Mollusca, Bivalvia, Ostreida, Ostreidae. The transcript has 4 exons.